CAGUCGCCGCGGUAAUACGUAGGGUGCAAGCGUUAAUCGGAAUUACUGGGCGUAAAGCGUGCGCAGGCGGUUAUAUAAGUCAGAUGUGAAAUCCCCGGGCUCAACCUGGGAACUGCAUUUGAGACUGUAUGGCUAGAGUGUGUCAGAGGGGGGUAGAAUUCCACGUGUAGCAGUGAAAUGCGUAGAUAUGUGGAGGAAUACCGAUGGCGAAGGCAGCCCCCUGGGAUAACACUGACGCUCAUGCACGAAAGUGUGGGGAGCAAACAGGAUUAGAUACCCGUGUAGUCCCUGUCUCUUAUAC
This 301-nucleotide ribosomal RNA is filed under the name uncultured bacterium. Its description in RNAcentral is "partial 16S ribosomal RNA". It matches the Rfam family "Bacterial small subunit ribosomal RNA", at positions 509 to 807 of the family's 1533-position model. The record is from RNAcentral.